AUGGCAAGCAUUUCUCUCGUUCUCACAAUUUGCGUCCUGGGCUUCUACGUGCCCGCCCCCUCCCUGGCGUCGCCCUCCCACGGCAAUGACUUCCUCCGCUGCCUCUCGACGGACGUCCCCGGCCAGCUCGUACAGACGCCGAGCUCGCCGUCGUUCAAGCAGCUCCUGGUGUCGUCCAUCAGGAACGCCAGGUUCGUGGCGCCGGCCACAGCCAGGCCGCCGAUCUGCAUCGUGACUCCAACCAACGCAUCGCAUGUCCAGGCCGCCGUGCGCUGCGGGCGCCGCCACGGCGUGCGCGUCCGCGUGCGCAGCGGCGGGCACGACUGCGAAGGCCUCUCGUACCGGUCGGGCCGCCGCGACAGCGAGGCGUUCGCGGUGAUCGACCUCGCCGAGCUCCACGCCAUCGGCGUCAACCCACACGAGGCCCCCGCAUGGGUUGACGCCGGGGCGAGGAUUGGGGAGCUCUACUACCAUGUCGCCACCGCUGCGCCUGGGCUGGGCUUCCCGGCUGGCAUGUGCCCGACCAUUGGCGGAGGGGGGCACUUCAGCGGAGGCGGCAUGGGCCUCAUGAUGCGCAAGUACGGUCUCUCCGCCGACAACGUGCUCGACGCCACCAUGGUCGAUGCCCAAGGGAACCUCCUGGCGGACAAGAAGGCCAUGGGGGACGACCUCUUCUGGGCCAUCCGCGGCGGUGGCGGCGGGAAUUUUGGCAUCGUGCUGUCGUGGAAGGUGAGGCUCGUGCCGGUCCCGCCGACAGUGACCUUCGUCAAAGUUGCGAGGACCAUGGAACAAGGCGCGGUCGACUCGGUGACCAAAUGGCAAACGCUCGCGCCGGCGCUCCCCGACGACCUCAGCGUACGUGUCGUUGUGCAAAACGGUGAGGCCAACUUCCAGGCCCUGUACCUCGGCAACAGCAGCGCGGUGGUGACGACGAUGGGGAGCCGGUUCCCAGAGCUCAGGGUGACGAUCGCCGACUGCAAGGAGAUGAGCUGGCUGCAGUACACGGCGUACAUAUUCUUCGGCGACGCCAUCAACAGCAAGCCUCUGGAGGCGCUCCUCCUCAACCGGUCCAUGCCCCUGGGACAAUUCGUCAAGAACAAUCCGACUACGUCAAGAAAACACUCACCAAGGAGACGUGGGAGAAGAUCUUCCGCUGGCCCAAUGGUACCGCCACGGGGCAGCUCGUCCUGGAGCCGCACGGCGGAAUAA
This 1209-nucleotide ribosomal RNA is filed under the name Triticum aestivum (bread wheat). RNAcentral's name for it is "partial small subunit ribosomal RNA". The record is from RNAcentral. Lineage: Eukaryota; Viridiplantae; Streptophyta; Magnoliopsida; Poales; Poaceae.